AUACGGAGGAUCCGAGCGUUAUCCGGAUUUAUUGGGUUUAAAGGGUGCGUAGGCGGCCUUUUAAGUCAGCGGUUAAAUCGUGGGGCUCAACCCCAUUCUGCCGUUGAUACUGGGUGGCUUGAUUGCGGUCGAGGUUGGCGGAAUUCGUUGUGUAGCGGUGAAAUGCAUAGAUAUGACGAAGAACACCGAUUGCGUAGGCAGCUGACCAGACCGCAAAUGACGCUCAUGCACGAAAGUGCGGGGAUCGAACAGGAUUAGAUACCCUGGUAGUCCGCACAGUAAACGAUGAAUACUUGUUUUCGGCGAUAUAAUGUCGGAGGCAAAGCGAAAGCGAUAAGUAUUCCACCUGGGGAGUACGCCGGCAACGGUGAAACUUAAAGGAAUUGACGGGG
Molecule: ribosomal RNA, 392 nt
Filed under: uncultured bacterium
Lineage: Bacteria
Description: partial 16S ribosomal RNA
Rfam family: Bacterial small subunit ribosomal RNA
Source: RNAcentral